ACACGACUACAUUAGAUACCCGUGUAGUCCUAGCCGUAAACGAUACUCGCUAGGUGUCGGCCACGGUGCGACCGUUGUCGGUGCCGUAGGGAAGCCGUGAAGCGAGCCACCUGGGAAGUACGGCCGCAAGGCUGAAACUUAAAGGAAUUGGCGGGGGAGCACCACAACGGGUGGAGCUUGCGGUUUAAUUGGAUUCAACGCCGGACAACUCACCAGGAGCGACGGUUACAUGAAGGCCAGGCUGAUGACCUUGCCUGAUUUUCCG
RNAcentral lists this ribosomal RNA (265 nucleotides) under uncultured archaeon. RNAcentral describes it as "partial 16S ribosomal RNA". It matches the Rfam family "Archaeal small subunit ribosomal RNA", at positions 719 to 982 of the family's 1478-position model. The record is from RNAcentral.